AAACUCUCAAGUAGAGAUAGCUUUGUUGUUAUCCUUGCUUGGAUUUGGGCUUUGCUGUGCCAAUGCAGCUGGCCCUAAAUGCAUUAGCUGGUCCUAAUGAAGGAUUUGGUUCUACUCAGCAUGAUAAUUGGUCUGAUGUUGAGGACAGUCUUAAGAGACUGGCCAGUCGUCUUUGGAUUGCUUCUAAUUGUCCUUGGACAUAACUGUUUGAUU
Molecule: unclassified non-coding RNA, 213 nt
Filed under: uncultured Hydnaceae
Lineage: Eukaryota; Fungi; Basidiomycota; Agaricomycetes; Cantharellales; Hydnaceae
Description: sequence contains ITS2
Source: RNAcentral